Molecule: long non-coding RNA, 1453 nt
Organism: Myotis daubentonii (Daubenton's bat)
Lineage: Eukaryota; Metazoa; Chordata; Mammalia; Chiroptera; Vespertilionidae
Exons: 2
Source: RefSeq, a predicted model, not a curated record
GGGCAGGCAAAAUAGACUUUAAAACAAAAACUGUAAUAAGACCAGGUCAUUACAUAAUGAUAAAGAAGUUAAUAUAAGAGGAUAAACAUUUGUAAGUAUUUAUGCACGCAACACAUUAUAUUUGAAGCACCAAAAUAUGUAGAGCGAAUAUUAACAGAACUAAAGAGAGAAAUAACACUACAUUGAUAACAGAGGACUUUAAAGAUAAAUCAUCCAGAUAGAUCAGUGGUUCUCAACCUUCCUAACGCUGCGACCCUUCAAUACAGUUCCUCGUGUUGUGGUGACCCCCAACCAUAAAAUUAUUUUCAUUGCUACUUCAUAACUGUAAUUUUGCUACUGUUAUGAAUCGUAAUGUAAAUAUCUGAUAUGCAGGAUGUAUUUUCAUUGUUACAAGUUGAACAUAAUUAAAGCAUAGUGAUUAAUCACAAAAACAAUAUGUAAUUAUAUGUGUGUUUUCCAAUGGUCUUAGGAGACCCCUGUGAAAGGGUCAUUCGACCCCCAAAGGGGUCACGACCCACAGGUUGAGAACUGCUGAGAUAGAUAAUCAGGAAGGAAACAUUGGCCUUAAACAACACAUUAGACCAAAUGGACUUAAGAGAUAUAUACUUAACAUUCCCCCCAAAAGCAACAGAAUACAUAUUCUUCUCAAGUAUAUAUGGGACAUUGUCCAGGAUAUAUCUUAUGUCAGUCCACAAAACAAGUCUUAAUAAGUUUAAGAAGACUGAAAUAUCAAACAUCUCUUCUGACCACAAGGAUAUGAAACUAGCAAUGAGUUACAAGAAGAAAACUGGAAAAUUCACAAAUAUAUGGAGAUUAAACAGUAUGCUACUGUACUACAAAUGGGUCAAAUAAGAAAUCAAAAGAAAUACAAUAUCUUGAGCCCAGCCAGUAUUUCCAGUGGUUAGAGAUCAGCCAAAACACCCAAAGGUCACAGGUUCACUCCCUGCCUGGUCGGAGCGAAUGCAUAAGGCCACCAAUGGAUGUGUUUCUCUCACAUCAAUGUUUCUCUCUCUCCCCCUUCCUCCCUCCCUUCCACUCUCUCUGAAAAGCAAUGGAAAAAAUAUCCUCAAGUGAGGAUUAUUAGCAACACAUCAAGAAUACCUUGAGGCAAAUGAAAAUGGAAACACAAUAUACCAAAACUUAUGAGACUCAGCAAAAGCAGUUCUAAGAGGGAAUUUCAUAGCAAUAAAUGGCUACAUCAAGAAACAAGAGAAAUCUCAAUCUAACUUUACACCUCCAGGAAUUAGAAAAAGAACAAAUGAAGCCCCAAAUUGGUAGAGGUAAGGAAAUAAAGGUAAGAGCAGAAAUAAAUGAAAUGGAGACUAAAAUGGCAAUAGAAAAGAUUGAUGAAAUCAAGAGCUGGUAUUUGAAAAUAUUUUUUUUUAAAUGACAAACCUUUCGUUAGACUCGCAAAAAAAAAAAAAAAAAAAAAAAAGGAUGGCCACAAAUAUAA